Etheostoma spectabile (orangethroat darter) is the source of this 105-nucleotide long non-coding RNA. RefSeq lists it as uncharacterized. NCBI's taxonomy places the organism in Eukaryota, Metazoa, Chordata, Actinopteri, Perciformes, Percidae. The record is from RefSeq and is a predicted model, not a curated record. The transcript has 3 exons.
AGUUUUCAAUGUUCAAAGCGCACUGUAACUACUCUAGAGUCUGCUCUUGAGACUUUGCUCUAAUUUUUGGGACAAUUAUGGCAGGAUUCGUGAUUCAGGAACUGC